This 241-nucleotide long non-coding RNA is filed under the name Homo sapiens (human). RNAcentral's name for it is "HSALNT0080569". Lineage: Eukaryota; Metazoa; Chordata; Mammalia; Primates; Hominidae. The record is from RNAcentral.
CAACAAGGGAGGGUCCCGUGAGCAGCCAGGCUGGCCCUCCCCGGGCCUGGGUGAGCUCCCAAAGCUGGAGCGCAGGGCUCUAGGCCGGCCCCGCCCCGGGGCUGGGGGCUUCCCGCCCGUUUGUCUCAUUUUAACUUUUGGGGGCAGCUCUGUCCCGAAUGGUGAGUGGUCCAGACUCUAGAAAGGGGUUUGGUCGCUUGAGCCCGGAUUGAGGCUUGGGACCUUUGCUCUCUUGCUGGGG